AUUGAACGCUGGCGGCAGGCUUAACACAUGCAAGUCGAGGGGUAACAAGAGAAAAGCUUGCUUUUCUUGUUGACGACCGGCGCACGGGUGAGUAACGCGUAUCCAACCUGCCCAUAACUAGGGAAUAACCUUGCGAAAGUAAGACUAAUACCCUAUAAUGUCCUUUGACGGAAUCCGAUUAGGAAUAAAGAUUUAUCGGUUAUGGAUGGGGAUGCGUCUGAUUAGCUUGUUGGAGGGGUAACGGCCCACCAAGGCAACGAUCAGUAGGGGUUCUGAGAGGAAGGUCCUCCACAUUGGAACUGAGACACGGUCCAAACACCUACGGGAGGCAGCAGUGAGGAAUAUUGGUCAAUGGGCGGAAGCCUGAACCAGCCAAGUAGCGUGCAGGAUGACGGCCCUAUGGGUUGUAAACUGCUUUUAUACAGGAAUAAAGUUAGCCACGUGUGGUUAUUUGUAGGUACUGUAUGAAUAAGGACCGGCUAAUUCCGUGCCAGCCGCCGCGGUAA
RNAcentral lists this ribosomal RNA (506 nucleotides) under uncultured bacterium. RNAcentral describes it as "partial 16S ribosomal RNA". It matches the Rfam family "Bacterial small subunit ribosomal RNA", at positions 30 to 523 of the family's 1533-position model. The record is from RNAcentral.